GAGCACGUAGGUGGGUUUGUAAGUCAGGUGUGAAAGCCUUCUGUUCAAAGGAAGAACGGCAUCUGAAACUGCAGAUCUUGAGUGUAGGAGGGGAGAGUGAAACUUCUGGUGGAGCGGUGAAAUGCGUAGAUAUCAGAAGGAACGUCGGCGGCGAAAGCGACUCUCUGGCCUAUUACUGACACUGAGGUGCGAAAGUUAGGGGAGCAAACGGGAUUAGAUACCCCGGUAGUCCUAACCGUAAACGAUGGGCACUAAGUAGAGGGAAUUACCAAUGUUCUCUCUGCCGUAGCUAACGCAUUAAGUGCCCCGCCUGGGGAGUACGGCCGCAAGGCUAAAACUCAAAAGAAUUGACGGGGGCUCGCACAAGCGGUGGAGCAUGUGGCUUAAUUCGAUGCAACGCGAAAAACCUUACCGGGGUUUGACAUGAUAGAAGUAGGAACCCGAAAGGGCAACCAACGGUAUCCAGCCCGUAGCUAUCACAGGUGUUGCAUGGCUGUCGUCAGCUCGUGUCGUGAGACGUUGGGUUAAGUCCCCUAACGAGCGAAACCCUUGUUUUUAGUUACCAUCGGGUAGUGCCGGGUACUCUAAAAAGACUGCCGUCGUCAAGACGGAGGAAGGUGGGGAUGACGUCAAGUCAUCAUGGCCCUUAUACCCCGGGCUGCACACGUGCUACAAUGGUCGGUACAAAAGGAUGCAAGACCGAGAGGUGAAGCGAAUCC
RNAcentral lists this ribosomal RNA (719 nucleotides) under uncultured Planctomycetota bacterium. RNAcentral describes it as "bacterial SSU rRNA". It matches the Rfam family "Bacterial small subunit ribosomal RNA", at positions 565 to 1274 of the family's 1533-position model. The record is from RNAcentral. Lineage: Bacteria; Pseudomonadati; Planctomycetota.